Molecule: ribosomal RNA, 306 nt
Filed under: Triticum aestivum (bread wheat)
Lineage: Eukaryota; Viridiplantae; Streptophyta; Magnoliopsida; Poales; Poaceae
Description: partial small subunit ribosomal RNA
Source: RNAcentral
AUGCUCGUUUUGGAAACAGAGCACUAUGUAUCCUCAACUGCACAUAUACCAUCAGGCAGACUGGAUGGGAUUCUUAGGAUGUUGAAUAUAGGAAGGGUUGCAUCGUCGCGAAGAAGUGAAGGAGAGACUCUUCGAUCGGAAAUGAUUAAGUGGCACCGAAGGCAGGCGUGGAUGAUCUUCUGGUGGAGACACCACUUAAAGACUCGAAGAGUUCAGGACUAUUGUCGGUUAUCAAAGACAUUGGAAGAGAGGGUGACGGAACAUGUAAGGACAUGUACAAUGGUUGAUAAGAUAGUUUCAUUUUAA